GAUGAACGCUGGCGGCGUGCUUAACACAUGCAAGUCGAACGGUGAAGGCGGAGCUUGCUCUGCUGGAUCAGUGGCGAACGGGUGAGUAACACGUGAGCAAUCUGCCCCUGACUCUGGGAUAAGCGCUGGAAACGGCGUCUAAUACUGGAUACGAGCUGCGAAGGCAUCUUCAGCAGCUGGAAAGAACUUCGGUCAGGGAUGAGCUCGCGGCCUAUCAGCUUGUUGGUGAGGUAACGGCUCACCAAGGCGUCGACGGGUAGCCGGCCUGAGAGGGUGACCGGCCACACUGGGACUGAGACACGGCCCAGACUCCUACGGGAGGCAGCAGUGGGGAAUAUUGCACAAUGGGCGAUAGCCUGAUGCAGCAACGCCGCGUGAGGGACGACGGCCUUCGGGUUGUAAACCUCUUUUAGCAGGGAAGAAGCGAAAGUGACGGUACCUGCAGAAAAAGCGCCGGCUAACUACGUG
This 468-nucleotide ribosomal RNA is filed under the name uncultured bacterium. RNAcentral describes it as "partial 16S ribosomal RNA". It matches the Rfam family "Bacterial small subunit ribosomal RNA", at positions 28 to 507 of the family's 1533-position model. The record is from RNAcentral.